This 396-nucleotide ribosomal RNA is filed under the name Triticum aestivum (bread wheat). Its description in RNAcentral is "partial small subunit ribosomal RNA". Lineage: Eukaryota; Viridiplantae; Streptophyta; Magnoliopsida; Poales; Poaceae. The record is from RNAcentral.
CUUGGCCUGGCUGCGAUCGAGCGGGCAAGGAAGCGCCAUGCCUCGCGCAUCACCUGGAUGCGGGGCGGUGAUGCCCGGUCGACCUUCUUCUAGGCCAAGAUCAACUCUAGGAGGCCGAAAAACUUCAUUCACGCCAUUCACACGACAGACUUGAUCAUCACCUUGCAUAGCGACAAGGCCAAUGGUAUCUACGACCACUUCCGCUCCUCCCUUGGGGCCGAGCCCGUCAGAGACACCACUAUAAAUUGGAGCUCGGUCAACCUUCCAUCACUGCCACCUGUCGGUUUAGACAACCUGUUUCCGGAGGAUGAGGUUUGGCAGGCGAUCUGUGCCUCGCCGCAGGAAAAAGCGCCCGGGCCGGAUGGCUUCAAUGGAACUUUCUUCCGUGCAUGCUAG